AAUACGAGAUGCUAAGGCGUCGAAGUAGUGUAUGUCAUACUUCCAAUCAUAGCUUGCACUGUCAUAAAUAAGAAAUGCCUGUACCAUAACCGACACAGGUGGGUAAGUAGAGUAUACUAAGGGGCGCGAGAUAACUCUCUCUAAGGAACUCGGCAAAAUAACUCCGUAACUUCGGGAGAAGGAGUGCCUUAUUCUUAAGGUUGCAAUAACAAGAUCCAAGCAACUGUUUAUCAAAAACACAGGUCUCCGCUAAGUCGUAAGACGAUGUAUGGGGGCUGACGCCUGCCCAGUGCCAGAAGGUUAAAGAAGUUGGUUAGCAAUUGCGAAGCUGGUAACUGAAGCCCUGGUGAACGGCGGCCGUAACUAUAUCGGUCCUAAGGUAGCGAAAUUCCUUGUCGGGUAAGUUCCGACCCGCACGAAAGGCGUAAUGAUUUGGAUGCUGUCUCGGAGAGGGGCUCGGUGAAAUAGACUUGUCUGUGAAGAUGCGGACUACCUGCACCAGGACAGAAAGACCCUAUGAAGCUUUACUGUAACUUGAAAUUGAAAUUGGACUUUAUUUGCGCAGUAUAGGUGGGAGGCGUUGAUUAUAAUCUUGCGGGAUUAUUGGAGCCAUCAGUGGGAUACCACUCUUGUAAUGUUAGAUUUCUAACUUUGAAUCAUUAUCUGGUCAAAGGACAAUUUCAGGCGGGCAGUUUGACUGGGGCGGUCGCCUCCUAAAUGGUAACGGAGGCGUACAAAGGUUUCCUCUGAACGGUUAGAAAUCGUAUCUAGAGUGUAAAGGCAUAAGGAAGCUUGACUGUGAGACCUACAAGUCGAGCAGGGACGAAAGUCGGUCUUAGUGAUCUGACGGUACUGAGUGGAAAGGCCGUCACUCAAACGGAUAAAAGUUACUCUAGGAUAACAGGCUGAUCUCCCCCAAGAGUUCACAUCGACGGGGAGGUUUGGCACCUCGAUGUCGGCUCAUCGCAUCCUGGGGCGGUAGUACGUCCCAAGGGUUGGGCUGUUCGCCCAUGAAAGCGGUACGCGAGCUGGGUUCAGAACGUCGUGAGACAGUUCGGUCCAUAUCCGGUGUAGGCGUUAGAAUAUUGAGAGGAGCUUUCUUUAGUACGAGAGGACCGAGAAGGACAUACCUCUGGUGUACCAGUUAUCGUGCCAACGGUAAACGCUGGGUAGCUAUGUAUGGAGUGGAUAACCGCUGAAAGCAUCUAAGUGGGAAGCCCACCUCAAGAUAAGUAUUCUCAC
This 1242-nucleotide ribosomal RNA is filed under the name metagenome. RNAcentral's name for it is "bacterial LSU rRNA". It matches the Rfam family "Bacterial large subunit ribosomal RNA", at positions 1566 to 2817 of the family's 2925-position model. The record is from RNAcentral.